Molecule: long non-coding RNA, 7002 nt
Organism: Ictalurus furcatus (blue catfish)
Lineage: Eukaryota; Metazoa; Chordata; Actinopteri; Siluriformes; Ictaluridae
Exons: 4
Source: RefSeq, a predicted model, not a curated record
CUGGCUCUUUAAUUCAGCGUGAGCAGCGCCACAAAAAAACAUUAGAAUUGACGCUGAAACUCCCACUUCGCUGCUGCUCACUUCCGGUGUAAGAUUUUAGCAGUGCAGAGUACAGAGCUUACAAACUGCAGUUUCCACACAAGAGACAUCAUCUUUACACACAGCACAAAAUUUAUGUUUUCCCGUCCUCUUUUGAUUGACAGGAUAUAAUCGGCCCUGAUUAUCGGAUGUUUUUAAACUAUCGGCCUAUAGCGUGAAAAAUAGCCUUUAUCCGCUGAUACCGAUUAUUGGCCGAUUCAUUGGAGCAUCUCUAAUACAGAUCCCUUAAAAAUAGUAUUAAUCUUCAAUCGACACAUAUCAGGAACAUUGUGUUCGUAUGUUUCAUUCACACCUUUAGUUAAAAAGGCUACAACGUGCAAAUAACUGUACUGAGAGAUUAUUAUAAACAUCCAUCACCACCAAUACGGAAAUGUCAAUGUCUCAGUUUAGCCUACAGGUGGAUGGCACUGCGAUUUUAGGUCUGUGAAUUCUGGGUCUGACAUUUCCUCAAUCUCAACUAUAUUGCUUGAGAUAUGUGCGGGACUGUGUUUUUUAAGCCUUCUCACAAUGUCAUUAUUUUUGGUUAUACCUUCUCGCAAACUUUUCUAAUGAAUUUAGUUGGUUUUGCUACACAAUCUCACACACAAUCUCAUUUAAAAUAAAUAAUCAUAAGAAAUAGCAUUAAUAACAAAUUUAAGUUCAGAGUGGUACUAUAUUAUGGAAAUAUAUUCUUGUACAAUUUCACCUUGAAACUUUGGGAGGCAGGUGAAAGAAGGAGGAAAGAAGGCGGAUGAAAGAAGGCGAGUUGUCCAAAAUGGCUCCCUCAAAAGAUUCACUGUUUUAUGCAAUUAAUGUCAUACAGUUGCUCUUGUAUAAAAGCAAUAAAACAAUUGUUACCAAAAAAUUGAAAAUACCAAACGAAAUUAAUAUGGUAAAACUCAAAUGCCUUUAACCCUAAUUUAAAAACAAAAAAACAAAACAAAAAAAACAACAACAAUUGUAUGGGCGUGACAUGCAUAUCCAUAACCACAUAAGUGAGGUACAUAUUUAUGAAAGAAUGAAAUUUUCAUUUGUUAGCAACAAUAGUCUCUUAGGUCUUGGCUUACUGACAGUAUGCAAAAUAAUAGUUUAAGCCAUUUUAGCUAGAAAGCACAGUGAAAGUUCUUUUUAAGUGUACUGGAUAAUGAUGAACAGUGAAAUACUCACCAGUAUCAGUCUUUCUUUGUUGUUCGGGGAAAGAGAAACUCUGUCCAGCUCGCUCUUCUUCUCUCUGGAGUCCUAUCAAAAACUAGUUUAAGGCAGAAUAACAAACUUGGACCCUCCCAGUAGCGCUGCUGUGCAUCAGUGGAAGUUGUCACAUCAGACAAGUUGGAGAGUUUACUUUUGGAUUAUCCUUUUUGUCUUAAAGCUGCCUAUCCAAAUUUUCAGUCAUGUUUAGAGGGGUUUGUAACAAAAAGGACAAACAUAGGCCUUGCCUGUUUCAAGUAACAUUGCAUGUUAAUGAUUAUAGAACUUUACUUAACCACUGUGCAAGUAAACGUCUGGGUUACGCACGUAACCCUGUUCCCUGAGAAGGGAACAAGAUGUUGUGUUUAGCAUAACACUAUGGGAGUGCCUUUCGCGUGCGACCGGCACCUGAAGCUUGUGUAAAUUCAUGCCUAUUUAUAGGCCUGCCAUGAUCAGGUGAUGUGGCAAUUAAAUGUGUCGCGUGAUAUAAAUAUGGCACCUGUGAACCACGCCACCAGCCAUUAUCUGAAGUGAAGAUGCAAUUCACAGGCCUGCCCUGGUAUGACAAAGCUAAGCAACAGCUCGUUCCCUUCUCAGGGAACAGGGUUAUAUGUGUAACCCAGACGUUCCCUUUCAAAGGGAACUCAAUGUUGUGUUUAGCAUAACAGUAUGGGAACGAGAAUACCCACUCCGUCAUACCGAGAGUAUGGCCUGUUCAAAAAGACCCAAGCGCUUGGGUCACUGCAAGACACUUGAGCCUGGGACAGAAUGAAUAUCCAGGCUGUAAUAACAAAUGAAUGUGUGUGGCGUAGACCACCCUGCAGCAGCACACACAUCCUAUAAGGAUACCCCUUUGGACAAAGCCUUCGCGGAGGUGACCGUCCUAGUGGAAUGAGCCCUUAUGCCCAGAGGCGUAGCGAGACCGCACGCCUCAUAAGCAAUAGAGAUUGUUUCCACUAUCGAAUUAGAGAUGCGCUGCUUUGACACAGCAUCACCUCUACUGUCGCCACCAAAGCAGACCAGCAGCUGCUCUGACUUACGCCACUGGCCGGAGCGGUAGACGUAAGUACAGAGAGCCCUUACUGGGCUCUCUGGGCCACAGGGGCGGCUGUGGAUCAGGUGGUAGAGCGGGUUGUCCACUAAUCGUAGGGUUGGCGGUUCGAUUCUCGGCCCACAUGACUCCACAUGCCGAAGUGUCCUUGGGCAACACACUGAACCCCAAGUUGCUCCCGAUGGCAAGUUAGCGCCUUGCAUGGCAGCUCUGCUACCAUUGGUGUGUGAGUGUGAGUGUGAAUGGGUUAAUGAGACACAGUGUAAAGCGCUUUGGAUAAAAGCGCUAUAUAAGUGCAGACCAUUUACCAUUUACUGGACACAGCAGGUGCAUACUCUCUUGUUCUGGUGUGGGGAAUGGAGGAGGGCAGAAAGCCUGCAACACCACAGGGUGGGCAGACGAUGUAGGCACUUUAGGAAUAUAAUCCGGCAUAGGAUACAGAAUGGCCUUGGCUAAUCCAGGGGCAAAGUCAAGACAGGAAGGGGCAACAGAGAGAGCUUUUAGAUCUCCUACUCGCCUGAGAGAUGUCAGGGCCAGCAGAAGAGCUACCUUUAGAGUCAGAAGCUUUUCAGAGGCUGAUUCUAAGGGCUCAAAUGAUGCACAAGACAGACCUUCCAGGACCACAGAAGGUUCCAGGAAGUUAUGUGCAGCAUGCAGAUGGGCCUCAGCUGCCUGACACCACUCAUGAACCUCGAAGUUAGAGGAUGUUGCCCCACAGAGGCUCCAUCAACAGGGGCGUGGCUGGCCAAAAUAGCAGCCACGUAAACCCUGAUUGUAGAAGGAGCCCACCCUGCUGAGAAACGUUCUUGUAAGAACUCCAGGACUGUAGCUAUUGUGUAGUUCACUGGGUCUAUAGUUGAUCCCUGUGGAUGGGAAUCUCCCAAGGAGUGCCAUCUAGCAGAGAUAUUAUUUCUGAGAACCAUAUUCGAGCUGGCCAAUAAGGUGCUACUAGCAGCAGACAUAGUCUUGGCGAACUCUCGCUAGAACUUGUGGGAGCAGAGCGAUCGGGGGAAAAGCGUACAGAUGUGACCUCGGCCACAUGUGCACCAUGGCGUCCAGCCCUAAUUGUGCGGGAGGAGUGAGGGCGAACCACAGCGGGCCGUGUGUUGUCUACUUGGAGGUGAACACAUGCAGGCCCGCUUGGCCAAACCUCACCAUAUGGACUCCACCACUUGGGGAUGGAGCCACCAAUUCCUGGGCCUCAGCCCCUGCCUCAACAGGAUGUCUGCCCCCAUAUUCCCAGAAUGUACAUUGCACUCACUGACAAACUUUCCUUCUGCCCAGAGAACAAUUAGUUGCACCUGCCUGAACAGGGGGCGUGGACAUAAUCCUCCCUGGUGGUCAAUAUAUGAGACCAUCACUGUGUUGUCUGUAAACACAUGGUGACCUCUCAAUUGAGGAAGAAGGAAUUUCAGUGCUAGAAAUAUGGCCCACAUCACUAGGCAAUUUAUAUGCUGCUCCAGAUGAGGGCCGCUCCAGAGACCAUGAGUUGGACAGCUGUCUAAGACCAUGCUCCAGCCCGUGAGGGAAGUGUCUGUCAUAAGGAGACACCCCUAGAGUGUGACCCAAGACUAGAAACCGGGGGCACUCAAAUUCUCAGAGCAUGUAGGCAUCGCCGAGUGACACUGAAUACUCUCAGAGGUUUCGGCCUUGGACGAAACCCCCAAAGUCUCAGCCACCACUGAACGAUCUCCUGUGCAAUAGGCCCAUAAGCUCCAAUAGUCUCCCAAGAUCCAGCUUUAUCUUGCUCAGUGUUGAUAGGAUUGACCCUACGCAUGUUGGGGAUAGAAACGCCCUCAUCGUAGUAGAAUCCUUAUAACCCCUAGAAAAGUUGUCCACUGCACUGGGGAAAGCAUACUUUUCUGAGGUUCAACCUGAGCCCCAAGCUCUUCAUGUGGGCGAGAACAACAUCUCAAUGUUGAACCGCCAAUUCCCUGGAUCGUGCUAGAAUUAACCAGUCGUCCAGGUAGUUUAGUACACGGAUGCCCUGGAGUCACAAUGGAGCCAGAGUGACAUCCAUGCACUUUGUGAAGGUGCGAGGGGAUAAAGCUAGCGAUAUUUCUAUGUGGAAAUAUACACCUUUUAGAUCUAUCGUCACAAACCAGUCCUCAAACUGAAUCUGUGGAACGAUAAGUUUGGGCGUCAGCAUCUUGAACCUGUAUGUCCAAAGAGUACAGUUCAGAUGACACAGAUCUAAAGUUGUCCGCAUACUCCUCUAUUUUUUGUGGACCAGGAAGUAACGGCUGUAAAAACCUCCCUCCCUCAGGGAAUGGGGUACAUGUUCUAUGGCCAGUUUGUCCAAGAGGGAUCUUACUUCCUGCACUAACGUCGGGCUCUGGUCUGUACUGACUACUGUGGUGACCACACCUCUGAACUGGGGGGGUCGAGCUCUAAAUUGGACCUGGUAACCCUUUUCUACUGUAGACAGAACCCAUGGAGACACAUUUGACAGUAGUUUCCACGCUGUCAGAUGGUCUUUUAGUGAUGUUAACUAUUCCACAUUCUAUUGGAGGGAAAGCAUCAGAUUUUUGUUGCCCUGUGACAGCUCGCUGACCAGAGAACAUUGAAAACUUGGUACAGCCUUGGCUAGGGGAAGCCCUACAGUAGCACUGGGAGCUAAAUGCCCUCACAACCUCCUGUCCCCUGAUACAUCCCUCCACGACCCCUCAGGACCGCUCUUCUUUGCCUGCUUGGCCUUUAUGACCAUUCACAGAUCAAGCCUAGUAGCAGGCCGCGGCUGUGGCCGCCCAGUUCCCCUGGCUGUCUGCGGGGGUUGGCGGGCUGCCAUACUUGCCUUCUGUAUUUCCCUCGCACUAGUGCUGGCCCGGGCUCCACUCGUGGAUGCCUGAGUGAACUCGACACAACAGGGAAGGAACUGGCUGAAUGCCGCCAUAUGUCGAGCUCACUCAGCAGGUCUGCUUGGUAGGCCUGCAACACUGUCAUUUUCUGCAGUGACUCACAAGCAAGACUACUACUGCAUAGGCCUUGCCCACCAAUGCCACGGUGGCCUUACACGGUGGCUUGGAUGGCAAAGCCGGCCCCCCUAAUUACCUGCCGUCGAUGGAGAGAGGUAGCUCGCAACUGCCUCCUCCUCCUUCAGCAUAGCUAAAUAGCCAUGCCAUUCAUUCCCCACAAUAGCAGAAUAAUCCAACAUCGUGGGGUUAUAAAUACGGCUCAUGCAUGGUUUUCCCCGAGAAGCCUGAUAUUUUGUCAUGCACUUCUGGAAGAAAGGGGAGUUUUCUGCAGUGUGAGGGAUUUACUUUCACUGGGGAGAAAAAGGCUCAUCUUAGUAAUCACUUCAAACAGCUCUUUAUAUGCUGCUCUCAGUUUUUAGCACAUCCUUCUGGUUCCUCGGAGUCAGAGAGGAAUUAUUACUAUUAUUAUUAUUAUUAUUAUUAUUAUUAUUUGUGUGCGCGCGUGUGUGUGUUUUCUCUCUCUCUUUUUUCCCCCUUUUGGCUUUCCAUAGCGGAAGGAGGAGUCCGAAGUGGCUCCAAAAUCCAGCGGAGAGCCGGACCCGGAAGACAGAGCAAGGGAUAGAGCAGCGCUCGUCUCCGGCUCCUCUUCCGGAUCCAUAAGCGAUCCCACGAACCUGAGACGGCUAGCUGCCUCGGCAGCGAGGCUCUGAAACCCAACUCGCUUCAGGUUCCGAGAAGAGCGCGAGUCGCGAACGGAGCUGCCUGAUGGAUAGAAAAGUCCAGAGAUUUCGAGAAAAGAUAGAGAGGAAAUGAAGCAUCUUUUUGUUUAUUUACACAAACAACCGGCAUGCAGUCUUUCACUGAAGAUAAUAAGGCUGAUGGCACGGUUCACAGCUUUCUGAAAAGGCACUGUAUUUAAGAGACUUGGAAAAGUGAAACAAGUGCUAAUCUACUGUGAGGAUCCAUUUUUUCCUAACCUUGCACAGUUUUGCGUCACUGUGUAAAUGUUAUCAACUACAUUUUGGGUUUGGGGAACACUGGAAUAUUUCAUCCUAGGCUGCAAACUGGACACCCUGAAGGUGGUGGUGGAAAGGUGGAUGGUGGACAAAAUUAAGAGGAUCAUGGACAAUAGCAAACACCCCCUCCAUGCCACACUGGCCAAACAGCGGUGCUCCUUCUCCAGUAGAUUAUGGCAGCUUCACUGUAACAAAGAAAGGUACAAGAAGUCAUUCUUGCCCACUGCUGUCCGACUCUACAAUGAGUCAACAACGACGUUGGGGAGCUAUGUGGACACUGGAGAUGAUGGACAUGUCUACUGAGUUUGCAUACUCAGCUAUUACACUACAUAUUGCACAACAAUUUUUACAUAGGGUCACUGCACAUUCUUACACACGCACUGCCACUUUACUUAUGACUUACUGAUGACUACUGUACAUUUAUACACACAUUAAUAAAACUGCUCUUCACACAUGUAAGUCCAAUGUAAGUUUUAAACGUGCCAACCUGUAAUAUAUUUCAUACAGUUAAUCUGUACAGGAAUCUUAGUCUGUAAAUAACUUAGUGAGCUAUUAAUAUGUGUAUUUUUAAUUCUCUCUUAUUUAUGGUGUAUAUUGUGAGUUUAUGGUGCAAGUCUUGUGAACUGUUAAGUCUUAGUCCUCCCUGUUGUGCUUGUGUUGUGGCUGUUGUGACACCAAAUUGCCCAUUAGGGGUCAAUAAAGUACUCUCCGUCUCUGUCUACCUCUAUUUAAGUGUACGAAGCUGGUUUUUUGA